RNAcentral lists this ribosomal RNA (500 nucleotides) under uncultured bacterium. RNAcentral's name for it is "bacterial SSU rRNA". It matches the Rfam family "Bacterial small subunit ribosomal RNA", at positions 30 to 524 of the family's 1533-position model. The record is from RNAcentral.
AUUGAACGCUGGCGGCAUGCCUAACACAUGCAAGUCGAACGGAGGUAGGGGCAACUCUACUUCAGUGGCGGACGGGUGAGGAAUGCGUCGGAAUCUACCCUAUGGUGGGGGAUAACACAGGGGAAACUUGUGCUAAUACCGCAUAAUGUCGAGAGACCAAAAGCAGGGGACCGCAAGGCCUUGCGCGAUAGGAUGAGCCGACGCCCGAUUAGCUAGUUGGUAGGGUAAAGGCCUACCAAGGCGACGAUCGGUAGCUGGUCUGAGAGGAUGAUCAGCCACACUGGGACUGAGACACGGCCCAGACUCCUACGGGAGGCAGCAGUGGGGAAUAUUGGACAAUGGGCGCAAGCCUGAUCCAGCAAUGCCGCGUGUGUGAAGAAGGCCUGCGGGUUGUAAAGCACUUUUGUUCGGGAAGAAAUCAUGCUGGUUAAUACCUGGUAUGGAUGACGGUACCGAAAGAAUAAGCACCGGCUAAACUUCGUGCCAGCAGCCGCGGUAAU